AGAAUUUGUAGAAUAAUAUACAGUAAAACCUCUAUAAAUUAAUAAUGUUGGGACCGCAAAAUUCUAUUAAUUUAUCGAUAAAUUAAUAAAUAUUAAUUUAUAGAGAGAUUUUUCUAAUUUGGUA
RNAcentral lists this small RNA (124 nucleotides) under Arabidopsis thaliana (thale cress). RNAcentral's name for it is "ATSL228850". The record is from RNAcentral. Lineage: Eukaryota; Viridiplantae; Streptophyta; Magnoliopsida; Brassicales; Brassicaceae.